UACGGAGGGUGCAAGCGUUGUCCGGAUUCAUUGGGUUUAAAGGGUGCGCAGGCGGACGAUUAAGUCAGGGGUGAAAGACGGUUGCUCAACAAUCGCAGUGCCUUUGAUACUGGUUGUCUUGGGUGACCUUGAGGUAGGCGGAAUGGGUGGUGUAGCGGUGAAAUGCAUAGAUACCACCCAGAACUCCGAUUGCGAAGGCAGCCUACUGGAGGUUCACCGACGCUCAGGCACGAAAGCGUGGGGAUCAAACAGG
Molecule: ribosomal RNA, 253 nt
Filed under: uncultured bacterium
Lineage: Bacteria
Description: partial 16S ribosomal RNA
Rfam family: Bacterial small subunit ribosomal RNA
Source: RNAcentral